Molecule: long non-coding RNA, 487 nt
Organism: Coffea eugenioides
Lineage: Eukaryota; Viridiplantae; Streptophyta; Magnoliopsida; Gentianales; Rubiaceae
Exons: 2
Source: RefSeq, a predicted model, not a curated record
AAAAGAAGUGUAUUUUUCCUUAACUAGACUCCAUGCACUAGAAUCAUGGAUCCACCACCCUCAGACCCUCCACCGAGUCAAGCACCACUUCUAUCACCAUCACCACCUCAACCUCCUCAGUCCGGUGGAUGUCUUGAAGCAUUCCUCUGGUUUCUAUCCUGCUGUGGUUUGUUGUCAUGUUGCUGCCCUCCACUCUUUGAGCCAUGGCCUCCACCUCCCUAGAGAUUGCAAUGCUUGCUUUUGAUGUCUAAGGAAUUUGACUACAUUAAUUUCUUAUCCUGAAAUCAGUGUCACCACAUUAGUUUUAUGCAUUAUUGUGCCACACCUUUGUAUGUUUGUUAGUUUAUCUUUCCUUUAACACUUCAUGAUAAGACUUUCAUUGUUCUUGAAGAAAGAAAUGAAUCAGAAUGUAGGGAAUCAUGAUGUCCCUCUUCUUUUGUAUUGAACAUUAUCCCAGUGAAUGUGUUAGUCCAUGGACUUGGAGGUU